UUAAUGUUUGAUUUUUAAAUGCUUUAUUAUACUAUAUUACAUUAUAUUAUAUUACUUUAUAUCCAUAUAUACUUUUUUGUUUUUGUUUUAAAAUUUGUUAUUCCUUUUAUUAUUUUGAUCACUUUGAGUUUAUUUAAAAACAAAACUUUUUUUAUAACAACAUUGCAAAUGUAAUCCUGUAUUUUGCUGCAGCUGACCUUUUUAAAAUUUAAGGUUUUAACAUCUUCGUUUUUCUUUUUUUUCUUUUUUUCUUUUUUACGAGGUAUGAUAUACAGUUAGUUGGUCAUGUUCACAACCAAACUGCCACUACUUACCAAAUAAAAAAUAACAGUACUUUUUGAUAGACAGAUAGAUGGAUAGAUGGAUAGAUAGAUAGACAUUAAAUAUUAAUCUGAGUUGAUAUCAUUUUAUUAUGUAAGCUAGAAGAGCAUGUAGUGAUUCGAUUUAGAAUUGGUGCAGUGCAGUUUAGUGAUAAUUAUACAAAUAAAUGAUAAUUUGACUGCCAGUUCAAAUGUAUUUGGCUGAAUGAAUUGUUCGGAUUCUCUUUUGAAAUGUUUUGCUCAAUGCCACACAGUUUCCAACAAAAUGUUGGAAUAUUUCCGAAUCUAUUAUCACGAUUAACCUUAUUAUUUCAGUAUGACAGGAAGUCCCAUAUGUUUCCAUGCAUGACAGGAUGGAUGACCUAACAGGCCUUUUUCUCUCUCUUCCAAAUACUGGGACUAUUUGAGGUCUUUGCCAACAGCCUUUUCAUAAAAACAGGAAUUGUGUCAUUUUUUAAAGGUUAGAAAUGGGUCAUUGUUUUGUUGGAUUGGUCCUCAGAUGUGACGUCCAAGGUUUAAGAACCCCAUGGCAGGUCACUUAAUAGUAGCGUAUGCGUUCACAGACUUCCACAUUACCAGUUACAGUGAGCGUCAAGUCAAGCAGUCAGUGGUGGCUCUGUUGUUGUUCUGGGAGCAGUAUUUUCUGUAAUGCUUAGCUCACAAUGGGUUACACGAAAAUAACAGCGCCUUCAGCUAUGAGGACGUGGUCUGUCUAACCGUAACAAGGAACCGUGUUAGAUGCCAGCCUGUUGUUGACCGAGAACAUCUCAAUAAAAUCAUUUGCAGAUGUUUUUUGGGCUCCCUGUGAAUCUUGGAUCUCUUUGUCUCUUUGAGUUUUUCCAAUGCUUGGCAAAAUAAGUAAAGUUUUAUUAGCUCGUUAAAAUUACAUAUUUUUCCAUAAUUUUCCUCUUCCUCUUUUUUUGU
Carassius gibelio (silver crucian carp) is the source of this 1244-nucleotide long non-coding RNA. RefSeq lists it as uncharacterized. The transcript is spliced from 3 exons. The record is from RefSeq and is a predicted model, not a curated record. NCBI's taxonomy places the organism in Eukaryota, Metazoa, Chordata, Actinopteri, Cypriniformes, Cyprinidae.